AAUUUAGCAGAUUUUUUUUUUGAGGUUUUAGGGAGCUUUGUAAUAUCAUGAUUUCCAUCUUUGUUCUUGCUUAUUUUGAAAUUGAGGUUUCAAAGGAAUUCAGGACUCCCCAUUCAUUGAUAACUCUGUGUGCUGUUCACCACUCUCAGUGUUCUGAUUGGACCAGCAACAAGCGCAAGUUCUUUAGCAUUUUUGUUGUUAAAUAGUGAGGGAAUUGCUUCAGCCAUCAAAUAGAAGACUAAAAGUCUUUGUGAUACAACCAAAGUAUGACCUGGGAUCUGAAAGUUCUGUGCUCUACUAACUGUAGGGAGUAUGAUCAUACUUUAUUGCCUUUUUUUUUCCCUUGCGCUAGACAAAGUGAUACUAUUGCUUUCUUUGCUAAUGACUUGUUCGGCUAUGCUUCUAGGAUCAAUUUUUGGAUCUCUGAAUUGGCUAGAUGAACGCAAUGGUUGUCAGAAAAAAGGUCAUAUUGCCCUGUCAGUCUAUUGAAUUUGAAUUUGUAUCAUCACUCUAUUCUCCUCCCGAAAUUAAAUUGUUUAUUGGUAUGGAAAAAA
This 554-nucleotide unclassified non-coding RNA is filed under the name Hevea brasiliensis (rubber tree). Lineage: Eukaryota; Viridiplantae; Streptophyta; Magnoliopsida; Malpighiales; Euphorbiaceae. The record is from RNAcentral.